RNAcentral lists this ribosomal RNA (254 nucleotides) under uncultured bacterium. RNAcentral describes it as "partial 16S ribosomal RNA". It matches the Rfam family "Bacterial small subunit ribosomal RNA", at positions 524 to 776 of the family's 1533-position model. The record is from RNAcentral.
UACGUAGGGUGCGAGCGUUGUCCGGAAUUAUUGGGCGUAAAGGGCGCGUAGGCGGUUCGGCAAGUCUCUAGUGAAAUCUCUGGGCUCAACUCAGAGUCUGCUGGGGAAACUGCCGGGCUUGAGUGUGGGAGAGGCGAGUGGAAUUCCGUGGUGUAGCGAUGAAAUGCGCAGAUAUCAGGAGGAACACCAAUUGCGAAGGCAGCUCGCUGGGACGUUACUGACGCUGAGACGCGAAAGCGUGGGGAGCAAACAGG